Pogoniulus pusillus (Red-fronted tinkerbird) is the source of this 4408-nucleotide RNA transcript. It is a transcript of the gene named VRK serine/threonine kinase 2, with no coding region annotated. Lineage: Eukaryota; Metazoa; Chordata; Aves; Piciformes; Lybiidae. The record is from RefSeq and is a predicted model, not a curated record. The transcript has 16 exons.
CCCACAUCUGAUAAACAGGAGAAUACAGGUAAACAAGAGGCUCACCUCCCCCUGCCUGCUCGCUGCCUGCUGCUGCUACCUUUGUUUGCCGCUGCUAUCGCUUUACGUGCUUCUGUGAGCUGCGACACUUUGCAUCGUAAUCAGGCCUGAAUACAGGUAACGACCCAGCGGACGACCGCCGCGGGUUCCUGGCCGGCCUGGGAGCUGCCGACCCCGCUGCUACACAGCACCCCGUCGGAUUAUCUCCAGCCUGUUGCCCAGCCGGCAGACUAUCUGACGACCUCCUGAGAGCCGUGGCAGACUCCUCUCGUGCCCGUGGACCAUCCUCGGGCGGCGUGCCCCAAUUUGGACUGAAGUGGCAACAAGCCACAUGGCAGCAGCCACACAGGUGAAGCCUCACCCACGCGGCUUUCACCAGACAGCUAUUCCUGCCUAUGCUCUUGGAACGCAGAUAUUAGGGCUUCCGACCAGCGAGUGUCUGAACUCUCUUAAUUCAAGCUGCUUAAAGAAUUUGAUUAACCUUACCAGCGGCACUUCAUGCGGUGCGAUGCCGCCUAAGGGUCGCGUCAGAAGCAAGCUACCAGUUCCUCUUCCAAGAGACAUGAUCCUGAAAGACACCGAAGGAAAAAGCUGGAGACUGGGAAGUCAGAUCGGCCAGGGAGGUUUUGGCUUGAUCUAUUUAGCUUCCCCUCAAAUUCAUGUUCCUGUGGAAGAUGAUGCAGUGCAUGUAAUUAAAGUGGAGUAUCUUGAAAACGGCCCAUUGUUUUCUGAACUGAAAUUUUACCAGAGGGUUGCAAAACAAGAGCACAUAAGAAAAUGGAUGAAUCUCAAAAAAAUAAAAUGUUUAGGAAUUCCAGUGUUUUGGGGAUCAGGCUUGGCUGAAUACGAGAGAAAAAGCUAUAGGUUCAUGGUCAUGGAGAGACUGGGGGAAGACCUUCAAAGAAUCUUUGAAGAUUGUGGAAGCAGAUUUAAGAAGGAGACUGUUCUCCAACUUGGGGCACGAAUGUUGGAUACUUUGGAAUAUAUACAUGAAAAUGAGUAUGUUCAUGGUGAUAUUAAAGCAGCAAAUCUACUUCUGGGCUACACCAAUCCACACGAGGUUUAUCUUGCAGAUUAUGGACUUUCCUACAGAUAUUGUCCCAAUGGGAACCACAAACACUAUCAAGAAAAUCCUAGGAAGGGCCAUAAUGGAACAAUAGAGUUUACCAGUAUAGAUGCCCACAAGGGAGUAGCCCCAUCGAGACGAAGUGACCUUGAAAUCCUUGGCUACUGUAUGCUGAAAUGGUUGUGUGGGAAGCUGCCCUGGGAACAGAACCUGAAGGACCCUGUAUCCGUCCAGACUGCAAAAACCAAAUUUAAGGAUGAGCUCCCAGAUUCAUUGUUGGAAUGGGAUUCUUCUGGAAGUGGCUCUAGUAAGUGUGAAAUAUCUAAGUUUUUGGCAUGUGUUUAUGACUUGGCUUAUGAUGAGAAGCCAAAGUAUCAAGUGCUCAAGAAAAUCCUGCUGGAUGGACUGGAGUCAAGUGGAACUUGCUAUGAUGGCCCUCUGGAGUUUUCUGCUGCAGCCUGCAUGCAAAAUCACUGCGCUGCUAAAGCCUCAAAACAAGUUCGCUUACCAAAGCCUGUGCCAAAACCUGUUCAGCAGAAGCAAAAGAAGAAGGAAGGUGAACAAAACAUCUAUCACAGCAAAGCAUGUAUAGGGAAAACAGGAAAACAACUGCAAGGUGAAGAAAAGCCAAGCAAAUUUACCAGGAUACCUCACCAAACGGAGCCUCAGCAGCAUACAGAAUUACUGCCUGCCCCGCAACAGGUUUUCUUGCCAGUGCAACAGAAGCAAAUCAAGGGGAAGGAGGAAGAACCGAACUGCCUAACCAGGUCCCGUGCUCGGGUGCUAUGCCAGCAUUUCCAGUCUGAAGGGAAGCCAAUGCAGUGUUACACCCCAAUGCAGAAGCUUGAGCACUCACAGAAGUAAAAACAGAAGGAAGAAGACAGUGUUAAGCAGUAAAAGCCAGUCACCUCCACAGUAUACUCCUGGACUAGAGCAGCAAAUAUAUUUUCUUUACAAGACACCCCAUCAUCCUCGAAAGGUCUGCCAUUUUAAGGGGUAAGCUGCUCAAAAACAUUCUGGACUCAUGUUAAAAACCUCACAGCAAAUUCUCUUUUAAAUAAAACCGGGUGAAACCCACAUUUUUUGGUAAUUAAGAGGUAUGUUAGGCUCACCCUCCUUGAGGAAACUGGAAUGAAUGAAAUCAAAGUUUAGUCAUAACUGAAGAUUGUCUGUGACUGACAACAAAGAGCUCAAAGCCUUGUACUGCCCUCCGCUGAUCUGACACGAGGUGCUUUUUGAGGCUUUUAUUUCCUUUUCAUUGGUCUGUGUCAAAGUACAGCUGAAGUAAGAUAAAGCCACCCUGGCUGCACACACACAAAAGUAUGUUGUCCGACCCAUGUCAUUUUAGCCAGUUGCCGAACUUUUUCCGUCCCUCCCUCCACCCACCAAGAAAGGAGCAGCAACAGCACCCCACUAGCUCCUUCCCUUCUUCACUCUGCAGGCAAUCAGCCUUUCCACAGCUUCUGGGGACAACCUAGGUCUACUUUGGUCCAUUGUACACUCUUAGAUUUCCACAAUGUUUCCACAAUUGGUAUUUUGGAUUUAAGCUGAAAAUUGGUACUCUUCUCUCAAAGAUAACAUUCCUCCUGCCCCAACCCUGUGUGUCUAACCGCUGACAACUGUCUCCUUCACAACUGCUAGACAACUGAUCCGAUACAUAUUACGCACUUAAAAUACCAGAGACAUCAGCAUAUGAAUUAAGAUACUUUUUCAGAUGGUUAACAUUGUAAGCCUCUAAUUUUCUUAUUUCUUAUCCUUUUCACGUGCCCCUUAACCCCUUCUGCUAGUUUUGACUGCACUCUACUAUUGCUUUCAUUCUUCCAGAACAGGAUCAACCUCAAGUAAUUGUUGAAAAAACCAGAGUUUGUGAAUGCAUUAAGGGUGUGAUCUAAGCUCAUUUUUCUGGAGUUACCAGUUUCUGACAGUUACUUGUUCACUGUUUAACAAUACAGCCUAUUUUCCUGCAGAAACCUUCUGUUCAUGUAGCACGAUACAGUUGUAAUUAAUUUCCUGAACAGGUUCAGCAUUCUGUGAGAGGUUAUUUUGUUUAAUACACAAAAUAAGAGUUGUGUCUUGCAGGAUUUAAGUGCCGCCUUUUAUUUUCCUAACUCCUAAUAAGCACCAUCUGAUUACCUAAGCAAACCAGAACAGCACCCCUUUAUUUUCCAUCCACUGUACUCCUUCAAAUCUUGAUGUACCUAUUGCAAUUCUCCUUGUUGUGGCACUCCGUGUAGGGUUUUCAGGCUGAAGCACCCAGGUCUUUCCAUCAAUCUCAUCCAUGGCAUCCCAGAAUUCCUUCAGCACUUCUAAUGCUGCCAGGAACUGGUUAUAUAUGUCUAGUAAAGAGCUCUAAGAAAGGAAGAAAUUGGAAAUGGACUGGAAUUGAAACGAGGCAUGUAAAAAUAGCUGUAUCGUGCAUACAGCACAGAAUCUGUUUAUCCAAAAUGAGAACUGCAAAGCCUCCUAAUGUAAAAGGUAUCCACUUUCUGAAGACAGCUCCUACAGAGUAUCUUGGGUUUCCCUGUUUUAUCAAAUCGACAGCAGACAAGUUAAGUAACAGUGACAGAGAAAAAAAAUGGAACAACUACUUUGGACAGGAGGUGGUUACAGCUUAGAAAUGUAUAGCCACAAAAGCUGUUACAGUUUCUUUUAUUGCAGUGCUACUCUUCUUGCAUUGUAGGUAUUAUUUUUCAGGAACUACUUUAAUGCUUGCAUAGAAAUGAACUUGUUUUCAAUGUAUAAAAGUAUGCCUACAACAAAGUCAGAACAAUUUUACCAUGGGAUUGGUUUUGGGACUCCCUCAUUUAAAUCCCAGCAGCACUAGCCAAUUAUGUGUUUACUUUCUUGUAAGUAAAUUCAUUUUAUGCAGGCUUUUGCGGGGUGCCUUUGAAAAGUGCUUGCAAACAGAUUCUACUAUCUUUAUGUUAUGUGAAAACAACCCAAACCAUAAUACCUACAGCACACUUUUCCCUGCAUUUUUAGUCAAAUUUUCUUUAAGAGCACAAUGUUGUACUGUACACUAGAUAAGUGCCAAGAACUAUGCAAUGAUGGUUCUGCACAUAUGUACAGAAUGAUUCCAGACCUAGCAGAGGGAAAUCCUAUAUGAGUGAUUCCCCAGGAGACAGCAUUAAUGCUAUAACAUUGCUUAUCAGUGGUAUCAUGUUACUACAGAUACACUCAAAUGCCUAUGUAAGAAGUUAUCCUGUUAUCCUUUAGAACUAUUUAAGCAAUUAUUAAAACAAAUAUGCAUUGGAAACCUAUUUCACAAGAUGUAGUCUGAGCAUUAAACAAUACGUCCUCUUA